RNAcentral lists this long non-coding RNA (278 nucleotides) under Olea europaea (common olive). RNAcentral's name for it is "long non-coding RNA (OEUR_LNC008434)". The record is from RNAcentral. Lineage: Eukaryota; Viridiplantae; Streptophyta; Magnoliopsida; Lamiales; Oleaceae.
UAGAGAAAGAGAAAGAUAAAAGAGAGAGAAAGGAGAGAAAAACGAAGAUAGAAAGCAGCAUUAGAAAUAGAAUUUCAUACAUCGAGUAUUUUAAUCACAUACUUUCAAAGCGGAGGAACGAUUUUCAACAUACUGUAGAUUCAACGAAGUAAGAUACAUUUAUGUGCAAAGUGUUUACGUUUCCUUAUACUCUUAUAUGCGAUUAAAUAUACAUGGAAUGCUAGUGGACCUUCGGGUUCUAGAGAAAGAGAUGAAAUUUCUACAUGAAAAUUAAGAGG